This 528-nucleotide ribosomal RNA is filed under the name uncultured organism. Its description in RNAcentral is "bacterial SSU rRNA". It matches the Rfam family "Bacterial small subunit ribosomal RNA", at positions 388 to 917 of the family's 1533-position model. The record is from RNAcentral.
CCAGCCAAGUAGCGUGCAGGAAGACGGCCCUAUGGGUUGUAAACUGCUUUUAUGCGGGGAUAAAGUGAGUCACGUGUGGCUUAUUGCAGGUACCGCAUGAAUAAGAACCGGCUAAUUCCGUGCCAGCAGCCGCGGUAAUACGGAAGGUCCGGGCGUUAUCCGGGUUUAUUGGGUUUAAAGGGAGCGUAGGCCGUCUGGUAAGCGUGUUGUGAAAUGUCGGGGCUCAACCUGGGCAUUGCAGCGCGAACUGUCAGACUUGAGUGCGCGGGAAGUAGGCGGAAUUCGUCGUGUAGCGGUGAAAUGCUUAGAUAUGACGAAGAACUCCGAUUGCGAAGGCAGCCUGCUGUAGCGCAACUGACGCUGAAGCUCGAAAGCGUGGGUAUCGAACAGGAUUAGAUACCCUGGUAGUCCACGCGGUAAACGAUGGAUGCUCGCUGUUUGCGUCUGACGUAAGCGGCCAAGCGAAAGCGUUAAGCAUCCCACCUGGGGAGUACGCCGGCAACGGUGCAACUCAAAUGAAUUGACGGA